ACAAAUUUUAAUCCUAUGAACAAAAUUAAAUCAAUCAUCUUCAACUUUGUCUUAACUUUCAUCCUUUUCUCCAUAAUCUUUGUAAUUCUAAACUCAUAAAUCUCCAAAUUAUUUUUUUCUUCUCAAAUUAAUUAUUUUUGAUUUCAUAUUUGACAUUAGAUUAUGGAUUUUGAUUGAUAUUGAUGUUUAGUAACAUCAAUUAGCAUGACUGAUGAUGGAAUAGAGCAAAUGAAAUUCAAGUUUGAUUGAUAAAUUCAGCUUCUUGAACUGAUUUAUAUGGCUGAAUUUCUCUUUCCAAAAGUUCAAUUGUUUUUUUUCUAUAAAUUUUUGGAUUCUUGAAUCAAACUGGAAAAUCAAACACUUGGUGAGAUGUGAAUUUUUUUUGGUGUCUCAACCAUGAUUCUCAGAAUUCACGACACAACAAACCACCAACAUUUAAGAGACUUGUGUGCAGUGCUUGUAGAAAGAAAAACAGCAGAAAGAUUUCUAUAGAUCUGAAAUUUUUAACAGAUCUAGGAGGUAGUUCCUUCAAAGAAAUUCUUGAACCUCACCUGGUAUUUUCAUAUUAUGAUCAGUUAGAAUGGAAUCACAGUGAAGGAAUGAGACCCACUGCUGCCCAAUUUCUAGAUUCAGUUAUUACGGGUUGGGUUCGUGCAGAUCACGGGUUAUUAGAUCAGUUAGAACGGUUCUGAAGAAAACUGAAAAUAUUUUGUAGAAGCAUAAAAAAAAAAAAAAAAAGCUUCAGAUCGGUAUACCAAUGGUUGCUUACCAUUCUGUAAAAAUGGAAAAUGAAAGAGAAGGAAUUAGGAAGAAAGAGAAGGUCACAUGCAUUUGUUUUGUGUUGACC
RNAcentral lists this long non-coding RNA (847 nucleotides) under Medicago truncatula (barrel medic). Its description in RNAcentral is "long non-coding RNA (MTRU_LNC007827)". The record is from RNAcentral. Lineage: Eukaryota; Viridiplantae; Streptophyta; Magnoliopsida; Fabales; Fabaceae.